CUCCGUGUGAGCUGGAGCUGCCUAGUCCAGAGGGGGGCUGAGGUGAGGCGAGGGCAGGAGCCUGAGCUGGGCCAGGGAGUGAGCCGCGCUGGCCGGAGGAGCUGCCCAGAGAGCUGAGCUGCAGGCAGAGCAGCAGCGCGUUGGCAGAGUGGAGCUGGGGCUGGAGCCGGCGCCGGCGCCAUCUGGAGCCAGCCCUCCAAGAAAGGAGUGUUGGAAAAAAACUGAAGAAAAUCUCAAAGAGAGAUUCUACUAACAUCAAACUCUUACCCCUUGUAUGAGUUGCUAGUAGCAUUGAGGAGAGUGCCUAAUUAGAGAUGUCCUCCUGCUUCCUCCAUAUCUGCCGCCUGACCCCCUGGACUUGGUCCCAAUCCUCCUUCAGUUGUGGUUGACUAUUGUUUGUUGAAAACCAUCUACAAGCACUAUUUUCUGGACUGCAUAACUGUAUUGUGCCUCUGUUAAGCAAUAUGCGGUGCUACAUGGCCUGGGAAACACAGUGGCCACAACAAUACAUGCCAUGGCACCCAGAUACCACACUGAUGGGCAUAAUAUAGCAAUGUGACUGGAACAGAACUUUAUGCAAAGAUCAAUACUGUUUUUAAAAAAUCAGCAUAUAAAGAAUGAAGGCCUGAUUGUCCAAUCCAUUUUACACCAGUGUAACUCUACUUCUUUUGUAUGGCAUCUAUGAAAAUAAAGGAGGAUAAGCUCCUUGUAUAAUCCAGUCCUGAUCCUCUCGGAUAAAUCAGUGUCAUUCCCUUGCUCUUGCUUCUCUGAUGAAUGACUGUCCCCAGGACACUCUGUAUAGCCCAUUUCAAAGCUUUCACACUGCAGUGUUCGAGCUCUUCAAGCUUACCUUAGGCCCCGGGGACCUCUCAGAACAUAAGGAUUUCAAGUACCGUGAGGUUUUCAUGCUUCUCCUCAUCUUCAGCAACCUUUCAGAAGUGAAAGCCAUGACCGCACUGGAUCUGGAAAUAAGUUUGCCAGUGUUCUGGAGAAAAUGGCUCCAAAGAAAAAAAAAUUGGCCCAGUACACUAAUUGGAUAUACCUGAUAAAAAGGAAGGUGAGAGAACUUGCUUACAGUGGGUACAGUGAGACCUCUAGAAACCAAAGUGACUUUACAUGUUUAAUAAAACCUUGAUUAAAUUAUUUCAUUAUGCCUACAUGUGAUGGGCCCAAGGUCUGCGGCUCCCUGACGCAGCUUAUAAGACAUGCACACCUGAAGGCAACUCAGGGCUUUAAGGGUCAAUGGGCCCUGCAAAGAUAGUGGAAGUAAAGAUAAUCCCUCCAUCAAAGAUACCAGAGGAGGGCAGUAGGCCACAGCACCAGCGCUGGUGCUGUGGCCUGCUGCCCCCUGUGACAACAGAUAGCGUUGGAAGGGGGUUGCGUUUAACAGAGGCUCACAUUAAUGGUGAAAUUCUCCAUAGUUUCAGAUAUGCAUUGCAAGUCUGCACCUUCUGAGGCACCCCCCUCACUAGAUUUAUAUGGAACUUGGCCAGGCUGAACCCAGCUUUUAUAUGAAUACAAAUAAACCUCAUAUUUGUAAGCUUCCUCUUUAUAUGUUUGUUUAAAAUGAAGAGUGUGAAUGAAGUGAACAAAACCAACUGGAGUAACACACUGAUAAACACAAAUGAAGAGCCUGUCCCCCUUGCAAAGGAAAAGAAAAGAGGUGGCUGAGGCCAUUUUUAACUGUAGGGUAACUUUUUACUGCCUUAAACCUCAGUAAUCAUUCCAGUGGACUUACAAGCAGAGUAGAGUAACACUAGCUACCAAGUGAACAAUAUCCAAGACAAGCCUGAUGUUAAACAGAGGAGCACUGUGGUUUAUAAUUACACGGGGGCCAAAUCCUGACAUCUUUGUUCACGCAAAACUCCCAGUGACUUCAAAAGGAAUUUUGACUGAACUUCAGGACUGGGCCUAUAGUAGUUAACAUAAUAUUAAAAGACAGUGAAAGUUAUUUCUGCCUGGUAAAGCAUGUGUGUUCUGAUGAGAUGUGAAAACUGCAAGUUCUAAGUCACUUUGGGUAGUUCUUCUCUUAUGAUGAUAGUAGUUAGUUACACUGGGUGACAACCUGACCCCAUUAAAAUCUAUUGCAAAUUCCCAUUGGCUUAAAUGGAGACAGGAUUUCACCCAUGGUAUGGGUUCUGUAGUUGUUACAGAACUGUGAAGUUACAAGCACAGUAUAUGGCUGUUUUUGCCACAUUAAGUAAAGUGCUGCCAAUGAGAAUAAUUUCAGUGUUUGUGGUGGUUAUUUGUUGAAGAUACAUGCAAAAAUUAAAAGAAAACUAUAAGUUAAUUUGCAAAUUUAGGUGGUUCUUGGAUAGCAUUUUGUUCUCCUGAUCUUGUAAUUAUUUGUACCUUUUUUUGGUCAAUUUCACUGAAAACAAACCCAAACCUUUGACUGCAACUGACUCCUUCCUCCAAAUUUAACAGAGAAAAUUGGCUUGUUCUUCUCAUACUAGCAGCUUUGCCUUCACAACAUUUCUUUUCCAGGUUCAAGGAGAGAUGUGGUGGGAAAAAGGGAACCUGAAGAAAGCAACACAUCAGUAGAUUAAUCUGAUGUCUGAAGAGAUGUUGGUUUCUUCAGUUCUUGUUGUAUGUAUAUACUCUUGUACUGCAAGUCAGAUUCCUUCUGCUUUUGCUUUGAACUGUAAAGUGGAAAGUUGCAAGUAAAUAUACUAUUUACUUCUCAAAGUAGAUAUAGAUAUUUAUACUCUUCUCUUGCAAAUUGUAUUAUGUCAGCACAGAUAAAUAGGAACCUGACUAACUGUUGUGCAAACCAUAUCCUCCUAUAUUUUAUAUCUAUAUUAGUGUAAUGCACGUUAAUUUUUGGUGAGUGAUUGUUUCUCAGGGGAGUUGAUGAUAGAUUCCAUCCAAUAAUCAAAACACAAUGAAUGCCGUAAUUUUGGACAUUAUAACAAUUAAGAUAAAAUCUAUUUAUCAGUAAAACCAUAUUUCUAUAUCAGUGCUACAGACCAUGUGAUGACUGAAAACUUAUAUCGAGCAACCUGAGUAGCUGUGUUAGUAGCUGUGACAGUCUCUCUCCCAGGCAAGCCCCACAGGAGAAGGAUGCUAUGGGGCAUUUCACCAAGCAGUUGAGCCUCCAAAAGAUCAAUUAGGAUUAGAGAUGGGGAGCAAGCAGUGAAAUCCUACAGAGAGUUUUCUGUGGGUUGUUUGGGGCCAGCUAGGAAGCCUCAGUGUCUAGGUUGUUUGUAGUUUUUCCACUGGGAGGUGAGGAAGUUUUUCUUCUUGUGGGCAAAAAUACUCAGUUUAUUUCCUGCUUUUAACCAGCAUGUG
Molecule: long non-coding RNA, 3291 nt
Organism: Gopherus evgoodei (Goodes thornscrub tortoise)
Lineage: Eukaryota; Metazoa; Chordata; Testudines; Testudinidae
Exons: 5
Source: RefSeq, a predicted model, not a curated record